UAUGUUUUUACUGGCUGUAUAUCUCUCUGGAACAUGCUAAUUAUCCGUAUAUAUAUGCAGCUAGAUAAGAUAAAGUCAGGCGGAAAUUCCAAGGAAUCGAUAGAUAUGCAGUAAAGAUUAGCUUUUUGAAAUUAUGUAACUAAGCAAAUUCAAACGGAUCUUAUCUCGAUGUAAACAUUGAAUGUGAAUAGAUCGAGAAGAGCGCAACUACAUGUACAAAAAUCGAGACGACCUUUUCUUAAAAUUGUAUAAAAAAUAGUAGAAAAAUACCUACUUUAAAAGAAUCUUUUAUGUUUCAACCUGCACAGACAGAAUUCUAAAUUGUUAUAUUGUAAUAUUUCUAUAUUGAAUGUACAUGUGACAAGAGCAGACCGGUUUACUCGAAAACUUAGAUGUGAAAAAUAAUUAUAAAAAGAAGAUGUGGUAUGAUUGCCAAUGACACAAGUCUCCACAAGAGACCAAAUAACACAGAAACUUACAAAUUUAGGUCACCAACAAUGAGCAAAGCCCAUGCCGCAUAGUCAGUUAUGAAGGCCCCGAAAUGACAAAUGUAAAACAAUUCAUACGAGAAAACUAACGGCCUAAUUUAUGUACAAAAUAAUGAACGAAAAACAAAUAUGUUACACAGCACCAAACGACAACCACUGAAUUAAAGGCUUUUUUUAUUAGAUUGCAUUCAAUGAUUUAUAACAAACUUUCUGUUAAGCAGGUCAACAAGAUUAAGUUGACGAUAUAAAAAAACAGAAACCGACCUCUGUUAUCAAUAUCUUUUUACUGUUAUCAAAAUUACAAAAUGUUAAGGAAGGUUUCUUCGUACAAAGGUUACUUGCGAAAUAACGAACAGGACACGUAUAAAAGGAGUUGGACAUAUUGCAACUCCCUCAAAGCUGCAGUGUUACAUACAUCAACAGUUUAUUAACCAGGUAAUUCCUUUUCGAUAUAUUGGGAACUAAAUCAGCCUAUUUAUCAAUCUGGAUUUUUAUUUUCCAAAGAACGUUUUUUUUUUUGUUUUGUUUUUUUUUUCUUAAUUCUUUUUUUAAAUGAUGAAAUUAAUGAACGUAAUUAUUCUAGUUUUCUUUUGAAUCAACCCGUGGUAAGGAAACUGCAAAAAAAACCCGUGUUCUUCGGUUUUCGAGUUGAAAGAUUAUAUUUCAAAAUUAUGAUAUAUACAAGAAGCAGUUAACAUUUUUGCUGUUAUUUUUUUACUUCUCAUCUGGUUUCGGUUUAUUUCUUUCAAAUAAAUUUUGUAUUUGUUUUCUUUUUAUUCAAAUUUCAAAUACUCUCAUUGUUGAUUUAAUCAAUUUUAUUAAAAUUAUUUCAAAAUUUGUUUUGUUAAUUUUUAAUUAUCAUUAUUAUUUAAAUAUUGAAUUAAUUUGUAUUGUACUAUUUGUAAAUAUGCGUUUAAUUUUAUAGAGGGGGAAACAUAAAAAUGGACAAGCUGUCAGUCGUAACUUUUAUUACCUGUCUUGUAUCUAUUAGUAUAGUUAUGCAAGGAGCUGACGCCCAGGAUUGUGCUUCUCCAAACAUAACCGCAUGCUCCACAAUCUAUACCGGCGCGGUAGCAGGGGCAGCAGGAGACAUAAAAAAAGCAUGUAGUGCAGCAAAUACCUAUCUAGAUUGUUUGAACAAAGUUGUCACUGACUGCAAAUUGGAAUCCGGCACUUCUGUUAUAAGCCAAACCAUUGCUGCUGCCAAACAGGCCCUUUCCCAGUAUGGAUGUGGAAGUGGAAAUGGAGCUGGAAGUCUUGUUUUUAACUUGGUUGCAAUGGUUUCAGGACUUACAAAUAUAUGCUGUUUUAGCUGAAAUACUUUAAUUUAUUUAUAUGAACAAAUCUACAUGUAAAAAUAUCUUUUCAUGACUUUCAUUUUAUAAGCUGUUUUAGAUGAAAUACACUAAUUUAUUUGUAUGAAAAAUCUACAUGUAAAAAUAUUUAUGAAUCUACGAACAAAAUGCAAUUUGGACA
Mytilus californianus (California mussel) is the source of this 1964-nucleotide RNA transcript. RefSeq lists it as uncharacterized. The transcript has 4 exons. NCBI's taxonomy places the organism in Eukaryota, Metazoa, Mollusca, Bivalvia, Mytilida, Mytilidae. The record is from RefSeq and is a predicted model, not a curated record.